Molecule: long non-coding RNA, 365 nt
Organism: Dreissena polymorpha
Lineage: Eukaryota; Metazoa; Mollusca; Bivalvia; Myida; Dreissenidae
Exons: 2
Source: RefSeq, a predicted model, not a curated record
AAUAUUAAAGGGGCCUUUUCACAGAUUUUGGCAUUUUUUAACUUAUUCAUUAAAUGCUUUAUAUCGAUAAAUGUAAACAUUGGAUCGUAAAAGCUCCAGUAAAAAAUCAAGAAUAAAAUUUAAAAAAGGAAAAGAACAUUGCCCGGACCAGGUUUCGAACCAGUGACCCCUAGAGUCCUGCCAGAGUCCUGAAGUAAAAACGCUUUAGCCUACUGAGCUAUUCCGCCAAGUACACAUGCAUGACGUAUUUUAUACCUUAUAUAAGCAAUCUUCGUAGUUUCACAAAAUUUAACGACAAAAACAGAACUCUCCAAAUUAUUCAAUCGUUUCGCGUUGCAACGCUUUAUAAUUUUUAGGUUUUAAAA